Molecule: ribosomal RNA, 497 nt
Filed under: uncultured bacterium
Lineage: Bacteria
Description: partial 16S ribosomal RNA
Rfam family: Bacterial small subunit ribosomal RNA
Source: RNAcentral
GAUGAACGCUGGCGGCGUGCCUAAUACAUGCAAGUCGAGCGAACGGACGAGAAGCUUGCUUCUCUGAUGUUAGCGGCGGACGGGUGAGUAACACGUGGAUAACCUACCUAUAAGACUGGGAUAACUUCGGGAAACCGGAGCUAAUACCGGAUAAUAUUUUGAACCGCAUGGUUCAAAAGUGAAAGACGGUCUUGCUGUCACUUAUAGAUGUAUCCGCGCUGCAUUAGCUAGUUGGUAAGGUAACGGCUUACCAAGGCAACGAUGCAUAGCCGACCUGAGAGGGUGAUAGGCCACACUGGAACUGAGACACGGUCCAGACUCCUACGGGAGGCAGCAGUAGGGAAUCUUCCGCAAUGGGCGAAAGCCUGACGGAGCAGCGCCGCGUGAGUGAUGAAGGUCUUCGGAUCGUAAAACUCUGUUAUUAGGGAAGAACAUAUGUGUAAGUAACUGUGCACAUCUUGACGGUACCUAAUCAGAAAGCCACGGCUAACUACGUG